Molecule: long non-coding RNA, 450 nt
Organism: Electrophorus electricus (electric eel)
Lineage: Eukaryota; Metazoa; Chordata; Actinopteri; Gymnotiformes; Gymnotidae
Source: Ensembl
AUUCAGCACAUGGCGAGGAGCGCGCUGCCUGGGCGCCGCUCGCGCACUUUUGGGCUCCGCGUCGGCUCGGCCCGGCCGGGCGCGUGGCGACGGCUCCGUGCAGCCUGCUGGCGAAGUUUCGCUGGUGUAGUUCGGCCGCUUUGCCCCGGAGAGGGGCAGGACACGAAUGGAGCCGGCGUCACCUGGUGGAGAAGGCGCUCCCUCCUAGAAGACCCCCUUCCGAAGGGCUCGUCCCCGUAGGGUCAAAGUGCUUUCAGUGCAGGUGUUUCCUGGUCCCAGCAGUACUAAAGUGCUGAUAGUGCACGUAGUUAAACGCUUCUACUGCAGUGUGAGCACUUGAAGUACUUCUAGACACGGGCGUCGCGGGCGCCGCGGGGACGUCGCCUGCCACAGCGCUCUCUGCUCUGGUUAGUUUUGCUGGUUUGCAUUCAGCGUUCACUGUUGCUGUGC